CCUCCGGUCAGUCUCCCAACUCUCUUCCGACCUGGCUCCCCCCCGGGCAAGGUUCCCUGAGCCCCCUCCGCACCCCCUCGUUCCUGGCCCCCGCCCCCGAGUCUCCCUCAGCAGCUCAGCCCCACGCGGCCCCUGCGCCCCGGUGGGCCGGCUUGCUCGGCGGCUCCAGGCGUGUGCGGCUCUCGCCCCAGCCCCUCCGCUGCUCACUGCUCUGCGAGGCCUCUCCUCCUUUACUCCCUUUCCUGCUCGCCCUCUAGGCUGUCCCUUCCUUGGACGCCCCAUCUCUCCAUCCUUCCCUGCAGGCAGUGGGGUCACACUCGGGCUUCUCCGGCGGGAGGGGCCGAGGCGAACCACCGCUGAGUAAUGGAGCAGCCCGGGCGGCUCCUGGGCACGGUGCUCGCGGGCCUGAUCGCUGCACCGCACGACAGUAGGUGGGAGGGUGGUUGCGGGGAAGAAAGGUCACGGGGGUAGCCUUCGUCCAGCCCUGAGGCCGGAGGUUGUCCACCUCUCACCCACAAACCGAUCUGACCCGGCAGCUUCAUGCCCCGGUUGCCGACCUAUUCUCAGCUGCCUACGAACGCCUUGGGUUUUUGGACCUUGAUGGUCUCAGCCAUGUUCAACAAGCUCGCCUUGCUUAUUCCUUUGGUGAAAUGGUGGCAUGAGAAGACGCCAUUGAAGGAAGGUUUGAGUUUGCAGUCUGGUGCAGGACCUCAUUCAUGGGCAGGUGGUGCCAAAAGGGCUGCAGGGUCAGGCCUGUGGCCCAGAGACGUCCACAGAUGUGGAGGACACGGUCUGGUUACCUGCUGCCUUGGUUCUGGCAGAUUUAAAGGGCUUCCCUUAGAUGCCCUUGACCAGAAAAAGGUUUCUUGAGGCUGCUUGGAGACAGCCUGGCACGUCCAGGGGAUGGUAGUUUCUUCACUGCUGGUAAUGUUGGGAACCUUGUUACCAUGGAGCGUGUACCUCUUGGGACUGGGGAAAGGGAGGUUAGCAGGUGAGAACUGAAAUCCUAGCAAAUGUGAGGCCCAGGGAGGGAAGAGGAACUAAUAUUUACUGCGUCCUUACCAUGUGCCAGGUAUUGGGCUUAUAUUCCAUCAUUGAUUUUUAACUGUGGAACAGGCUUCUAGGAGUCAGAACAGAGGAGAGUAGAAAUAGGGGUCGGUUGAUUAGAAUGGGAAGUGCUGGGAGGAGGCCUGUCUGUAUAUGGAAGCGAGUCAUGGUGGGAGUAACAGAUGAAAUAAAAACACGUGCUGUGCAUCCAUACGGACCCAGCUCUACCAUGCCAUAGCUAUGUGACCUUGAGUGGUCAGACACACUCUCAAGCUCAGCAUCCUUCUCUGUUAAAAGGAGGAGACCCAAACUGCCUUCUGUGUCCCAUGGGAGGCUUCAGCGCAGUGCUAGGCACAGAGCUUGUGUCUUGAACACGAAACUUGGGUCUGUGGGUGGAAUGCAGUAGGAGACUGUAAAAAGAGCUUGGCUUUGGAGUCAGGUGUACUUGGGCUUGAAGGCCAGCUGGACAGCUUAGCUUUGUGACCUUGGACAGGUCACUUCCCUUCUGAGCCUCAAAUUCGUUGCCUUUAAGAUAAGAAUGAUGACUCUGGUCACAGACUUGUUAGUGAUAAUAACGUGAAAGCACUUGGCACAGGAUCUGAGACCUUGCGGGGAUUUUAAAGUAGUCAUUCCUUUUCUUCCUUGCUGAGCACCUUCUGGUCCUUGGGAGCAGGGAUCUGUUCAGAGAAGUGGUUUUGAGUGAUUUUGCGCUCUCUCCUUUCCCUGAGGAAAGCUGGCAAUGUUUGGAGACAUUUUGAUUGUCAGGGCUUGAGGGAUCUAGUGGGUAGAGGCCAGGGGUGCUGCUAAAAUUGUCCGAUGCAUAGGCAGACCCCACAUUGAUCAUCUGGUCUAAAAUGUCAGUAGUGCCAUGGUUGAGAAACCCUGAGAUAGAGGAGACUAGGGGUUGGGCAGGGCUCCCCAGCCUGCACAGCCUGUUCUCUGAAAGGGCCGGAGGCCAGCUUGCUAAAUGGUAUGCCCUCGCAGCAGCCUGUAUCUCCUCACCUGCUGCAGGCCCUCUACCCAUCAGCACCUAGCGUGAACGCUUGGGAGACUGCCAACAGUGAGGUGACUCUAAAGCAGUGGCUCUUUUUGCUCUAGUGGACUAGUUAUCCUACUCUUCCAAAUGAUUUUGUCUGCCAACCAUGCUGAAGAGUGAAGAGCACCAGCCAACAUUUCCUGUUAAGCCUCUGGGUCUCUGCUUAUUGUUCUGGACACCAAAUUAGAAAAGAAUUCUGCGGUAGAAGUUAUCAGUGGCUGAUGCCAGACUGGCCCUUGCCUGGCUGGGGAAGAGGAAGUCCAAGGCGGACAGAUACAGGGUCGGUGGGUGGAGUGCCGCAGGCUGUGAUCCACCUUCCACAUUUGGGGGUGGGCUCCCUCUCCCGUGCGGAAGGUGGAUCACAGCCCGGCAGGGGCCGGGGAGCUUGGCAGAAGUGGCUUUGGGGUGGUGUGGGCACUGCUCAGUCAAGAUGGAGCCCACACUGGGGAAGACAGGGCAGCUUUGCUCCAGAGCCCUGUCAGUUUAUACGUGGGUAUCGCUGCAUGGUAUCCGAUUGGGCAGAAGCCAUUCCUUGUUCUAUUUUUGAGGCUUUUUGGCUGAAGCCAAUGUUUCAGAUGAGGAAAUGAAAGUCGGCUAAUGUAAUUCAGUUUAAAAUAGGUGUCACCUUUGGGGACCUAACCCAGAUUAUAAAUUUCUUUUAAGUGCUGGCUAUUCAGAACUCAGCGAAGAAUCUGUCAGUACUGCAGCUGAGAUUUGGGGGUUAGGGGGCAGGGGGAUUGGCUCAUUUGUUGGCAAAAGUUCUUUUAGAUUAAUAAAUCUCCCUCCUGGUAGCAGUUGGGACCUCACUGACCUGGGGGAGGUCUUAGAAGGUAACAGUUUUAGCACAUCUUAAUUUCUUUAUUGGUUUAACUGAUACAAAGCAUUGGAUUGAGAGUGAGAAGACCUUGGUUUGUGCCUUUGUUCUUCCCUUUUGAGAACAAGGUGAGGUUGAUAACCUCACAUGGUGGUUGUUAGUAUCGAGUAGGGCAGAUACAGGGACAGUACCCGUACAGAGCAGGUGCAAGCAACUCAGGAUUUUGCUGUAAGAUACCCCUUGAGGGCAGUUGCUUUGCUGCUACCUUCCAGGGAUCGAGGGAGGGUGUGUCCAAACUUGCUUUGAGCCCUAGCUGGUUUGGCUUAGGGGAUAGAGAGCAUCAGCCUGUGGACUGAAGGUUCCUGGGUUUGAUUCUGGUCAAGGGUGCAUGCCCAGGUUUGGGGCUCGAUCCCCAGGAGGGGGCGUACAGGAGGCAGCCGAUCAAUGCUUCUCUCUCAUCAUUGAUGUUUCUAUUUAUCCCUAUCCCUUCCUCUCUGAAAUCAAUCUAUCAGUCAAUA
Long non-coding RNA from Myotis daubentonii (Daubenton's bat), 3415 nucleotides. RefSeq lists it as uncharacterized. The record is from RefSeq and is a predicted model, not a curated record. NCBI's taxonomy places the organism in Eukaryota, Metazoa, Chordata, Mammalia, Chiroptera, Vespertilionidae.